This 382-nucleotide long non-coding RNA is filed under the name Pelobates cultripes (western spadefoot toad). The record is from RNAcentral. Lineage: Eukaryota; Metazoa; Chordata; Amphibia; Anura; Pelobatidae.
UGUGUGUGUGUGUCAGUAUUUCUCAGUGUAUGUGGGUGUCAGUAUAUCUGUCAGUGUGUGGGUGUCAGUAUUUCUGUCAGUGUAUGUGUGUCAGUAUGUUGAUCAGUGUAUGGGUCUGUGUGUGUGUGUCAGUAUGUCGGUAUAUGUGUGCGUGUGUCAGUAUUUCGGUAUAUGUGUCUGUGUGUCAGUAUGUCUGUCAGUACGUCUACCAGUGUAUGUGUCUGUGUGUGUGUCAAUAUAUGUACCUGUGUCAGUGUGUCUGUCAGUGUAUGUGCCUGUUUAUCUGUAUGUAGUCAGUGUAUGUAUCUGUGUAUCUGCUUGUGCGUCAGAGUGUGUACCUGUGCAUCUGAGCCGCAACUUUAAAUACAAAUACACCCCUCCA